AACGUAGGGGGCGAGCGUUGCCCGGAUUCACUGGGCGUAAAGCGGGUGUAGGCGGUCCGUUAAGUCGGAUGUGAAAUCUCCGAGCUCAACUCGGAAACUGCAUCCGAUACUGUCGGACUUGAGGACGGUAGAGGUCGGUGGAAUGCACAGUGUACCGGUGAAAUGGACAGAUAUUGUGCGGAACACCAGUGGCGAAGGCGGCCGACUGGGCCGAUCCUGACGCUGAGACCCGAAAGCCAGGGUAGCGAACCGG
RNAcentral lists this ribosomal RNA (253 nucleotides) under uncultured bacterium. RNAcentral describes it as "partial 16S ribosomal RNA". It matches the Rfam family "Bacterial small subunit ribosomal RNA", at positions 524 to 776 of the family's 1533-position model. The record is from RNAcentral.